RNAcentral lists this ribosomal RNA (1470 nucleotides) under metagenome. RNAcentral's name for it is "bacterial SSU rRNA". It matches the Rfam family "Bacterial small subunit ribosomal RNA". The record is from RNAcentral.
AGAGUUUGAUCCUGGCUCAGGACGAACGCUGGCGGCACGCUUAACACAUGCAAGUCGAACGAGAGAAGAGGAGCUUGCUUUUCUGAUCUAGUGGCGGACGGGUGAGUAACACGUGAGCAAUCUGCCUUUCAGAGGGGGAUACCGAUUGGAAACGAUCGUUAAUACCGCAUAACAUAAUUGAACCGCAUGAUUUGAUUAUCAAAGAUUUAUCGCUGAAAGAUGAGCUCGCGUCUGAUUAGCUAGUUGGUAAGGUAACUGCUUACCAAGGCGACGAUCAGUAGCCGGACUGAGAGGUUGAUCGGCCACAUUGGGACUGAGACACGGCCCAGACUCCUACGGGAGGCAGCAGUGGGGAAUAUUGCACAAUGGAGGAAACUCUGAUGCAGCGAUGCCGCGUGAGGGAAGAAGGUUUUAGGAUUGUAAACCUCUGUCUUCAGGGACGAAAAAAGACGGUACCUGAGGAGGAAGCUCCGGCUAACUACGUGCCAGCAGCCGCGGUAAUACGUAGGGAGCGAGCGUUGUCCGGAAUUACUGGGUGUAAAGGGAGCGUAGGCGGGAUCGCAAGUCAGAUGUGAAAACUAUGGGCUUAACCCAUAAACUGCAUUUGAAACUGUGGUUCUUGAGUGAAGUAGAGGUAAGCGGAAUUCCUAGUGUAGCGGUGAAAUGCGUAGAUAUUAGGAGGAACAUCAGUGGCGAAGGCGGCUUACUGGGCUUUAACUGACGCUGAGGCUCGAAAGCGUGGGGAGCAAACAGGAUUAGAUACCCUGGUAGUCCACGCCGUAAACGAUGAUUACUAGGUGUGGGGGGACUGACCCCUUCCGUGCCGCAGCAAACGCAAUAAGUAAUCCACCUGGGGAGUACGACCGCAAGGUUGAAACUCAAAGGAAUUGACGGGGGCCCGCACAAGCAGUGGAGUAUGUGGAUUAAUUCGAAGCAACGCGAAGAACCUUACCAGGUCUUGACAUCGUAUGCAUAGCUCAGAGAUGAGUGAAAUCUCUUCGGAGACAUAUAGACAGGUGGUGCAUGGUUGUCGUCAGCUCGUGUCGUGAGAUGUUGGGUUAAGUCCCGCAACGAGCGCAACCCUUACUGUUAGUUGCUACGCAAGAGCACUCUAGCAGGACUGCCGUUGACAAAACGGAGGAAGGUGGGGAUGACGUCAAAUCAUCAUGCCCCUUAUGACCUGGGCCUCACACGUACUACAAUGGCUGUCAACAGAGGGAAGCAAAGCCGCGAGGUGGAGCGAACCCCUAAAAGCAGUCUUAGUUCGGAUUGUAGGCUGCAACCCGCCUACAUGAAGUCGGAAUUGCUAGUAAUCGCAGAUCAGCAUGCUGCGGUGAAUACGUUCCCGGGCCUUGUACACACCGCCCGUCACGCCAUGGGAGUCGGUAACACCCGAAGCCUGUAGUCUAACCGCAAGGAGGACGCAGUCGAAGGUGGGAUUGAUGACUGGGGUGAAGUCGUAACAAGGUA